ACCUCUUUGGUCCAGUGGUUCUAAAUAGUUCAACAGUCUAUACCGAAAUUGUGAAAUGUUUAGGACCACUUGAUCAGCG
This 79-nucleotide microRNA precursor is filed under the name Salmo salar (Atlantic salmon). RNAcentral's name for it is "mir-203 microRNA precursor family". It matches the Rfam family "mir-203 microRNA precursor family". The record is from Rfam by way of RNAcentral. RNAcentral also lists the same sequence under 1 other name. Lineage: Eukaryota; Metazoa; Chordata; Actinopteri; Salmoniformes; Salmonidae.